This 573-nucleotide ribosomal RNA is filed under the name uncultured bacterium. Its description in RNAcentral is "partial 16S ribosomal RNA". It matches the Rfam family "Bacterial small subunit ribosomal RNA", at positions 355 to 920 of the family's 1533-position model. The record is from RNAcentral.
UGGGGAAUUUUGGACAAUGGGGGAAACCCUGAUCCAGCCAUCCCGCGUGUGCGAUGAAGGCCUUCGGGUUGUAAAGCACUUUUGGCAGGAAAGAAACGUCGCGGGUUAAUACCCCGCGAAACUGACGGUACCUGCAGAAUAAGCACCGGCUAACUACGUGCCAGCAGCCGCGGUAAUACGUAGGGUGCAAGCGUUAAUCGGAAUUACUGGGCGUAAAGCGUGCGCAGGCGGUUCGGAAAGAAAGAUGUGAAAUCCCAGAGCUUAACUUUGGAACUGCAUUUUUAACUACCGGGCUAGAGUGUGUCAGAGGGAGGUGGAAUUCCGCGUGUAGCAGUGAAAUGCGUAGAUAUGCGGAGGAACACCGAUGGCGAAGGCAGCCUCCUGGGAUAACACUGACGCUCAUGCACGAAAAGCGUGGGGAGCAAACAGGAUUAGAUACCCUGGUAGUCCACGCCCUAAACGAUGUCAACUAGCUGUUGGGGCCUUCGGGCCUUGGUAGCGCAGCUAACGCGUGAAGUUGACCGCCUGGGGAGUACGGUCGCAAGAUUAAAACUUAAAGGAAUUGACGGGGGU